This 484-nucleotide ribosomal RNA is filed under the name uncultured bacterium. Its description in RNAcentral is "partial 16S ribosomal RNA". It matches the Rfam family "Bacterial small subunit ribosomal RNA", at positions 28 to 507 of the family's 1533-position model. The record is from RNAcentral.
GACGAACGCUGGCGGCGUGCUUAACACAUGCAAGUCGAACGGAAAGGCCCCUUUGGGGGUACUCGAGUGGCGAACGGGUGAGUAACACGUGAGUAACCUGCCCUUGACUUCGGGAUAACUUCAGGAAACUGGGGCUAAUACCGGAUAGGAAUCCUUGCUGCAUGGUGGGGGUUGGAAAGCUUCGGCGGUUUUGGAUGGACUCGCGGCUUAUCAGCUUGUUGGUGGGGUAGUGGCUUACCAAGGCUUUGACGGGUAGCCGGCCUGAGAGGGCGACCGGCCACAAUGGAACUGAGACACGGUCCAGACUACUACGGGAGGCAGCAGUAGGGAAUCUGCCGCAAUGGGCGAAAGCCGGACGGAGCAACGACGCGUGAGUGAUGAAGGUCUUCGGAUCGUAAAACUCUGUUAUGAGGGAAGAACAAAUGUGUAAGGAACUAUGCACGUCUUGACGGUACCUAAUCAGAAAGCCACGGCUAACUACGUG